RNAcentral lists this transfer RNA (70 nucleotides) under Stegodyphus mimosarum. It matches the Rfam family "tRNA". Rfam says of the family: Transfer RNA (tRNA) molecules are approximately 80 nucleotides in length. Their secondary structure includes four short double-helical elements and three loops (D, anti-codon, and T loops). The record is from Rfam by way of RNAcentral. Lineage: Eukaryota; Metazoa; Arthropoda; Arachnida; Araneae; Eresidae.
UCCUUCGUGGUGUAACAGUAGCACACUUGGUUCGAAUUUGAGAGUCCGGGUUCGAGUCCCGGCGAGGGAA